UUGAGGCAUGGUGUGAGUUAAGAUGGUCUUAAGUAGGCCUUCUGGAGAAAGAGUCUCUGGGCUUGUAGUCUGUGUGUGUGAAGCUUAUUGGAAAACGAAUGUGAGGACAACAGUUAAAAAGCAUUGAGCCCAACUGGUUUGAGCAGAGGAAGAACUAGAAUGGCGAAACACACGCAAAAGAGGCCUCCGCAGACACCAUGAGGAGUGCUGGCUCUAUGAUGACCAUUCCAAGUUGCCUCCAAUUCCUGGAACUUAGACUGUUGGGGGAGGAUCUUGUGCUAUGUAUUUAAUUGUUAAUUACUGGUCCCCCAAGAUCUGGUUACACCCCAGAGGAGCGCAAUGUCAUGUAUAGCAAGUGAUGCUGUGUAACUCCGACCUCAAUUAUACCUGAUUGGCUAUUAAUAAAGUAGCUGACAGCCUGGGCUGGGCAGAAGAGAGGGAAGUGGGGUUUAGGUUCCCAGGCUUAGGGUCUGGGAGAGAGCGUGAGAGAAAAAAGAGAGAGGAAGCAGAAGAUGUAGCAGGAGAGGAAUCUGGAGAGAAAGAAGUCACCGUGGGGCAUGAGCAUGUGGCCAUAAGGACAGACGGCUGAAACAGAAGCAACCCAGACAGGCUGGCUAAGUGACAUUGGCUCAUCCUGGGGGAAGACUGAGUAUCCCUCCCACAACAGGCGUAUGGAUUGCCGGCUGCUCUUCCUCAAAGAACGAAACCUUGUGAGAUUACUCCAUCAGCGCGGCCACAUCAGCUGGGAUUGUCCUUAUUCAGGUGUUGUUCAGGCAGCUAUAUGGCCUUCAGUUUUAAACAUCUAAGAUGGGGAAAAAGAUCCAUGUGUGAGGAGAAUGUUGCAGUCCAGAAGUCCGUGUGUGAAUAGGCAUCUCUGCCAUGCAAAGAGUUCUUCAAGCCUUCACAAAUGAUAUGAAACAAAGAUUCUGAUAAUUUGUAAAAUGGUUUUUGUAAUUAUGUUUUGGCAAAUACUUUAACAAAAAUAAAAAUUAUUUUUUUGACUUGUAGGAUUUUGACGAGGGGGCAGGGGGACACGGACCAUGGGCCAAAAGACAAAGCAACAGACAGAAU
Long non-coding RNA from Meriones unguiculatus (Mongolian gerbil), 1071 nucleotides. RefSeq lists it as uncharacterized. NCBI's taxonomy places the organism in Eukaryota, Metazoa, Chordata, Mammalia, Rodentia, Muridae. The transcript is spliced from 3 exons. The record is from RefSeq and is a predicted model, not a curated record.